AGUGAACGCUGGCGGUAGGCCUAACACAUGCAAGUCGAACGGCAGCACAGUAAGAGCUUGCUCUUACGGGUGGCGAGUGGCGGACGGGUGAGGAAUACAUCGGAAUCUACUUUUUCGUGGGGGAGAACGUAGGGAAACUUACGCUAAUACCGCAUACGACCUACGGGUGAAAGCAGGGGAUCUUCGGACCUUGCGCGAUUGAAUGAGCCGAUGUCGGAUUAGCUAGUUGGCGGGGUAAAGGCCCACCAAGGCGACGAUCCGUAGCUGGUCUGAGAGGAUGAUCAGCCACACUGGAACUGAGACACGGUCCAGACUCCUACGGGAGGCAGCAGUGGGGAAUAUUGGACAAUGGGCGCAAGCCUGAUCCAGCCACACCGCGUGGGUGAAGAAGGCCUUCGGAUUGUAAAGCCCUUUUGUUUGGAAAGAAAAGCAGCAGGUUAAUACCCCGCUGUUCUGACGGUACCCAAAGAAUAAGCACCGGCUAACUUCGUG
Molecule: ribosomal RNA, 492 nt
Filed under: uncultured bacterium
Lineage: Bacteria
Description: partial 16S ribosomal RNA
Rfam family: Bacterial small subunit ribosomal RNA
Source: RNAcentral